Molecule: long non-coding RNA, 1535 nt
Organism: Piliocolobus tephrosceles (Ugandan red Colobus)
Lineage: Eukaryota; Metazoa; Chordata; Mammalia; Primates; Cercopithecidae
Source: Ensembl
AUGGAGAUGACAAAAAUCUUGGUAACAGUGGGCCCCAGUAUGGACGAAGGCUCUGACGAGGCGACCAGGCCACGUGGAGGAGAGUCAAGGAAAACUCUUGGGACAACAAAGUCUUUGCUACCAUCUCAGGACCUCAGCAGAAGGGAUCAGUGCCUGACUCAGAACUAAGAAAGAAAGAUACUUGCUGAAUGACUGAAGGACCAGCUUUUUUGUUGUUGUUGUUGUCAACGUUGACCAGGUUGACCUCGAAUGUGUAGCCUCGUCUCCCUGUGCGCCGGGACAUCCAGCCUGAGCCACCAUGGCUACCAAGAGCCACCUUCUUAAGCAAAAUCUUAUAGUGGCUUCCUGGUACCUACAGAAAAAAGAAAAAAACUUCAAAUUCUAGCACCUGGCUUAUGAACUACUUGAAGAGAAAGGUGGGCAGGUGGGCUGCCCUUCAGGUUUUCUGUUACCCAACCUUGUCUCCCAACAGCUCUCCCAGGAGACCUUUGUCUCAUGGUUUCCUGAAGAUGCAGGGAUGAACCAUCAGGCACUGUGCAUCUGCUCUGGGCCAGGUACUAUGUGAGAAGAAGUGUCAUUGGCCACCCUCGGUGGGCUUCCUUCUGACCCAAGCCUUGGCUUAUUCAUUCACCUCCCCAGUCUCUUCCCUCCCUGCCACUGAUCCACAUUCUACCUAUUUUUCCAUAUGGGCAUUUCUACCAAUAUUUUAAUUCACCUUUUUCCACUUCAGAUUCUUAACAUUUCUAGAACAGAGGUCUUGUAAUUUUCCUUUUCACUAAUAGACUUGGAGGUUAAUUAUAGUCACCCUAUUAUGCUAUGGAACACUAGGUCUUACUCCAUGUAUCAAACUAUUUUUGUACCCAUUAAUCAUCUCCUCCUUAUCCGCCCCUCCCCACCACCCUUCCCAGCCUCGUAACCAUCAUGCUACUCUAGCUCCAUGAAUUCAAGUUUUGUGUUUUUUUUAAGCUCUCACAUAUAAGUGAGACCAUGUGAUAUUUGUCUUUCUGUGCAUGGCUUAUUUGACUUCACAUAAAGUCCUCCAGUUCUAUCCAUGUUGUUGCAAAUGACAGGAUUUCAUUAUUUUUAUGGCUGAAUAAUAGUCCAUUGUGUAUAUGCACCACAUUUCCUUUAUCCAAUCAAAAGGAAAGAGUGGAACUGGAAUGUUUCUUUUUUUCUUUUUCUUUUUUUUUUUUUUUUUUGUUUGAGAUGGAGUCUCACCCUGUCGCCCAGGCUGGAGUGCAGUGGCAAUCUUGGCUCACUGCAACCUCUGCCUUCUAGGUUCCAGCAAUUCUCCUGCCUCAUCCGUCCAAGUAGCUGGGAUUACAGGCACGUACCACGGUGCCCAGCUAAUUUUUGUAUUUUUAGUAGAGAUGGAGUUUCACCAUAUUAGCCAGACUGGUCUCGAACUCCUGACCUCAAGUGAUCCACCCGCCUCAGCCUCCCAAGGUGCUGGGAUUAUAGGCGUGAGCCACCAUGCCCAGCUGGAACUGGAAUGUUUCUAACACAAAGAAAUAAUAAAUGCUUAAAGUGAUGCA